This 329-nucleotide ribosomal RNA is filed under the name uncultured eukaryote. Its description in RNAcentral is "partial 18S ribosomal RNA". It matches the Rfam family "Eukaryotic small subunit ribosomal RNA", at positions 1470 to 1796 of the family's 1831-position model. The record is from RNAcentral.
CCCUUAGAUGUUCUGGGCCGCACGCGCGCUACACUGACACGUUCAUCAAGUCUAUAACCUUGACCGAGAGGUCUGGGUAAUCUUUUAAAAACGUGUCGUGCUGGGGAUAGAUUAUUGCAAUUAUUAAUCUUCAACGAGGAAUUCCUAGUAAACGCAAGUCAUCAACUUGCAUUGAUUACGUCCCUGCCCUUUGUACACACCGCCCGUCGCUACUACCGAUUGAAUGAUUUAGUGAGUACCAGGGACCGAGCGCUUGGGUUGGGUUUCCUUCCCUAGCGCUUGGGAACUGUCGCAAACUUGACCAUUUAGAGGAAGUAAAAGUCGUAACA